GUGGUGUUUUUUCUUUUUGAAAUCGUUUUUGGUUUUGGAAAUCUCUAGAAAGAAAUAUUAAAUAUUAUUAUUACCCACUCUUAUAAAUAGUCAUGUUCGACACUGCCAGGCAAGGGAUUUGACUGGGGCGGUACAUUUGUUAAAGCGUAAUGCAAGUAUCCUAAGGGAAGCUCAGAGAACGGAAACCUCUCCUAGAAUAAAAGGGUAAAAGCUCGCUUGAUCUUAAUUUUCAGAACGAAUACAGACAGCGAAAGCGUGACCUCCCGAUCCUUUAGAGUUAGGAAAUCUCUAAUUUAGCAAGAGGUAUCAGAAAAGUUACCUC
This 322-nucleotide non-coding RNA is filed under the name Dracunculus medinensis (Guinea worm). RNAcentral's name for it is "Eukaryotic large subunit ribosomal RNA". It matches the Rfam family "Eukaryotic large subunit ribosomal RNA", at positions 2506 to 2819 of the family's 3401-position model. The record is from Rfam by way of RNAcentral. Lineage: Eukaryota; Metazoa; Nematoda; Chromadorea; Rhabditida; Dracunculidae.